Molecule: unclassified non-coding RNA, 323 nt
Filed under: uncultured Geminibasidium
Lineage: Eukaryota; Fungi; Basidiomycota; Geminibasidiomycetes; Geminibasidiales; Geminibasidiaceae
Description: sequence contains 5.8S rRNA gene
Rfam family: 5.8S ribosomal RNA (bases 1-53)
Source: RNAcentral
GAACGCAUCUUGCGCUCCUUGGUAUUCCGAGGAGCAUGCCUGUUUGAGUGUCAUUAAUAUCUCAACCCUCUAAUGUUUUUGCAUUGAAGGCGUUGGUAGUGAGCGCUGCCGGUCUUUGGGUCGGCUCGCUUUAAAAUAAUUAGCUGGAUCCAUUCUGACCUGGUUCUACUCGGCGUAAUAAGUUAUUAUCGUCGAGGACGCCUAGCCUUCUAGGCAGGCGGCCACAGUAAGGGUGUUUGAACCGCUUCCAACACGUCUUGCUCUUGUAGCAAACACUUGAACCUCUGACCUCAAAUCAGGCAGGACUACCCGCUGAACUUAAG